GGUUGAUAUUGCAGCAACACGUAUUCAUUUUAGUUUUGUGCGCUUCACUGUCCACUCCUCUUGACGCACCAAUUCAGCGCAUUUUCCAGCAGAGAUCGUUGUGAGAUCGCAGGUCGGGAGAAUAACAGUUCGAGUGCAUUUCUCGUUGAUUGCUGUUUUAUCGUGUCUGUUCGGAUACUUGAGCAUAACUCACGCUAUUCAAAGACGAACCACAGUGGACGGUUUCUGACCGGCGAGGCUGGCGGUCGUGCCGUCCCGUCGAGGAUGUUCUUCUGAUAAAGCCUGCCCUGGAGGAGACAAAUGCUAUCGAUUUGAUUUGGGGCCUGUUUGCGUGCCGCCUGUUUUCAUGAAGCCGGGUCAAUGUCCCAUACCGGAGAUGAUUCCACUGUGUGCUAAAAGCUGUUUCCAUGAUGGCCAGUGUUAAA
Sinocyclocheilus rhinocerous is the source of this 425-nucleotide long non-coding RNA. RefSeq lists it as uncharacterized. Lineage: Eukaryota; Metazoa; Chordata; Actinopteri; Cypriniformes; Cyprinidae. The record is from RefSeq and is a predicted model, not a curated record. The transcript has 3 exons.